Molecule: long non-coding RNA, 1243 nt
Organism: Girardinichthys multiradiatus
Lineage: Eukaryota; Metazoa; Chordata; Actinopteri; Cyprinodontiformes; Goodeidae
Exons: 4
Source: RefSeq, a predicted model, not a curated record
UUGAUGGAGGCAUUAGAAUUGACUCAAAAGAAAAUUAACGGAUUAAAAGAUCGAAAAUCAAAACGGUCCUGGUCAAACUUCUAAGCAAACAGGAAAUUAUCUGCAAAGAAAAGCCUGACCGGUUUAUUUUUAAAUUAAAACAAAAAGCCAAAUUGUAAAGGAGAACAUUUCAUCAAAAGCCCAAAUUUAGCCAAAACAAUUUUUCUGUACAACUCAACUUUUGUCACUAAAGGGGGGCAGAAAAUGUAGUAAAACCACAAGAAAAGAACAAAAGGUGGAAAAAUAGGGGAGAGAAAAAAAUAGUGUUAAACAUCUGUUGUGUGCUGUGUGUGGUCGUCCUCUUAUCUCUCCCUCUGUGGCCCGCUAAACAUGACUAGCUGCCAUCUUGGCUCACAGAGACGAGGUGGAGGGGGUAGCGGCGGCUCCAGGCUCUCUGGCAAACAGGAGCCGGAAAAUAACGUAACCACAAAUAUGAAAGCUUGACGUGACACACCGAAUAAACCCGCAGCACAACAAUGUUUUUUUUUCUAUUUUUCCUGACAUUUCAGCGCCACCACUGUUGCGUGACAGCGGUUAGAGUGACCAUUAUGCAAGUUGGCCUAUUACAUGAAAAAGAUGGAAGAAUAACGCAACAAACACACACAGAGCAGUGAAACUGGGUUAGGGGCUAAAACGCUGUUCAGACCUGAAAAAGAGAGGAAGAGAAGGGGAAACACAGAGUCAGAAUCAAAGAAAAAGGGUCCUUGUAGAGGGGCCUCAGAGCACCAAUUUUUUUCAUGUGCAAACACGGUGGUGGCAGUAAUCUACUAGUAAUGUUUUUCUGGCGAAGGGACUGGAACACUACUUGGACUAGAGCAAGAGAAAAAAGGAAAAAUAUAAAGCCAUAUUGAAAGUCCAAAAAACUUGAAGAACCCACGUUCAGGACUAACCUUAACGGCUGAGUCAGCGAACAGUUAAAAGGGUAAUCCAGGCUUCGGACAGCUGAAGGAGCCAUUUUGAUCUUCACGUGGAAGAAAGCGAGAAUGCCAAGAGAAUGUAGAGCAGGGCGCUUAUCUGUCAGCGACAGAGGUGGUUGUAUUGGAGCUUCCCAUAGUGAGACAACAUGCGAAGUAUUAAAGAGAACUUUGAUCUUCAAGUGAAGAGCAUCCAUCAACCCAUGACAAAAUAUCACAUAACAUAUAUGUGGCAGAGUGAAAACAACACAGAUUGGCUCUUUACACAAGGUCACUCUGCCAAUAUGAUU